Molecule: ribosomal RNA, 440 nt
Filed under: uncultured bacterium
Lineage: Bacteria
Description: partial 16S ribosomal RNA
Rfam family: Bacterial small subunit ribosomal RNA
Source: RNAcentral
CCUACGGGCGGCAGCAGUGGGGAAUAUUGCACAAUGGGGGAAACCCUGAUGCAGCGACGCCGCGUGAGUGAAGAAGUAAUUCGUUAUGGAAAGCUCUAUCCGCAGGGAAGAAAAUGACGGUACCUGAGUAAGAAGCCCCGGCUAACUACGUGCCAGCAGCCGCGGUAAUACGUAGGGGGCAAGCGUUAUCCGGAUUUACUGGGUGUAAAGGGAGCGUAGACGGCAGUGCAAGUCUGGAGUGAAAGGCGGGGGCUCAACCCCCGGACUGCUCUGGAAACUGUACGGCUGGAGUGCUGGAGAGGUAAGUGGAAUUCCUAGUGUAGCAGUGAAAUGCGUAGAUAUUAGGAGGAACACCAGUGGCGAAGGCGGCUUACUGGACAGUAACUGACGUUGAGGCUCGAAAGCGUGGGGAGCAAACAGGAUUAGAUACCCGGGUAGUC